This 849-nucleotide ribosomal RNA is filed under the name Triticum aestivum (bread wheat). RNAcentral describes it as "partial small subunit ribosomal RNA". The record is from RNAcentral. Lineage: Eukaryota; Viridiplantae; Streptophyta; Magnoliopsida; Poales; Poaceae.
AUGCGGGAGGACGACUGCCUGGCCCGCGUCCCACUUCUCCAUCAACAGGAUAGUCACCGAGGUCCCGUGUUUUGCCGACGCCCUGUGGGCGGGUCUGGUUCCCCCUUUUCUGAUUUCUUCAAUGCCGUGCUUUCCCACUAUCAGAUCCACAUGAUGCAUCUGGGUCCUGAAUCCAUCACCCUCCUUUCGGUCUUCGCCUUUGUUUGCGAGGCAAUGAUGGGCAUCCUUCCUUCGGUUGCCUUGCUGUGCCACUUCUUCUCUCUGCGCCUUGUCGACCCUACCCAAUGCUGGGCGUGCGUGAGCUUCGUUGCCGCGCCUGAGACAGCGGCCUCAGGGAUUGACUUCAGGCUCCCUUUGCCCGCGGCUGGGUUCCGCGAGCGGUGGCUGUAUGUGGUUGCAGGGGUGCCCAGCCCCCUGCUAUCGGAGCCAACUUCGCCUGCUGUCCCCAAUUCGGGCUGGGGCCAGGAGACGCUUGAGAGCCCCCGGCUCGUCUUCGUCUGGCACCGCUUCGCGUUCUUGAGAUCGCUUGGUGUGACAUCGCCCAAGGUGGUGAAGGAGUUCCUGCUACACCGCGUUGCUCCUCUCCAACGCCACUCCCGCCGGAUGUGGGCCUUCAGCGGGCGUGAUGAUCGUAUGAGGCUCCGGGAAGAGGACCUGACGCCUGAAGUGCUGAGGCCAGCGCUCUUGAUCCUGACUGGGGACCCCAACCCUGGCAGCAUCCAGCAGGGAGGGGCCUUGCUGUACCUCUGCCAGAACAGGGGUGAUUUUGUGAAUCAGAUGCCUAUCUUCGAUGAGUGGGGCCGCACCCCGCCGGCCUCCAGGGGCCUCGCGAGAACCCAGUGGUGGUGA